AAACUUAAGCUUAAACCGACUCUUAAAUCCCUAAAUCACUAAAUUUUUCUGUAAAUCGUAUAACAAUCUUUUUAUCUAAAUGUUCGUCUUUAUAGAGUUUUAUAAUAACCAUCACUAAAUAGUAAUCACAAACUUUUUCUCUAAAUCGUUAAAGGUUAGUUCUGUGGACUUUCAUCAAAGAUUGCCCUAAUCGCCGGCAAUGAAUUUUGCGUAACUCUGUGGGAGAUCA
Molecule: long non-coding RNA, 229 nt
Filed under: Capsicum annuum
Lineage: Eukaryota; Viridiplantae; Streptophyta; Magnoliopsida; Solanales; Solanaceae
Description: long non-coding RNA (CANN_LNC020262)
Source: RNAcentral